RNAcentral lists this small RNA (28 nucleotides) under Bombyx mori (domestic silkworm). RNAcentral's name for it is "ovarian small RNA-19389". The record is from RNAcentral. Lineage: Eukaryota; Metazoa; Arthropoda; Insecta; Lepidoptera; Bombycidae.
UAAGUAUUUGACCUUCGGGGCCCACGGU